Caenorhabditis elegans is the source of this 144-nucleotide non-coding RNA. NCBI's taxonomy places the organism in Eukaryota, Metazoa, Nematoda, Chromadorea, Rhabditida, Rhabditidae. The record is from Ensembl.
ACCCUUUUCCGAAUCGAUUCUCACGCCUUUCCCACUUUCUCUUUUCUCCCCUUUCCAACAAGAAUAAAAAUUUGAUUCGAAUGCCUGACGGGCUCGAAGUGAGAUGGAGAGAAUGGAGAAACGAAGAAAAAUGAGAAGCGUCUG